GACGAACGCUGGCGGCGUGCUUAACACAUGCAAGUCGAACGGAAAGGCCCUGCUUUUGUGGGGUGCUCGAGUGGCGAACGGGUGAGUAACACGUGAGUAACCUGCCCUUUACUUUGGGAUAACUUCAGGAAACUGGAGCUAAUACCGGAUAGUAGCUCCUGCUGCAUGGUGGGGGUUGGAAAGUUUCGGCGGUUGGGGAUGGACUCGCGGCUUAUCAGCUUGUUGGUGGGGUAGUGGCUUACCAAGGCUUUGACGGGUAGCCGGCCUGAGAGGGUGACCGGCCACAUUGGGACUGAGAUACGGCCAAGACUCAUACGGGAGGCAGCAGUGGGGAAUAUUGCAAAAUGGGCGGAAGGCUGAUGCAGGAACUCCGCGUGCGGGAUGACUGCCUUAGGGUUGUAACCCGCUUUCGCCUGUGAAGAAGAGUGAGUGACGGUAAUGGGUAAAGAAGCACCGGCUAACUACGUG
RNAcentral lists this ribosomal RNA (468 nucleotides) under uncultured bacterium. Its description in RNAcentral is "partial 16S ribosomal RNA". It matches the Rfam family "Bacterial small subunit ribosomal RNA", at positions 28 to 507 of the family's 1533-position model. The record is from RNAcentral.